UGGGGGAUAUUGCACAAUGGGCGAAAGCCUGAUGCAGCGACGCCGCGUGGGGGAUGAAGGCCUUCGGGUUGUAAACUUCUUUUGCUCUGAACAAGGCAUGCUAAUGGGUGUGUUGAGUGUAGGGGUUGAUUAGCGCCGGCUAACUACGUGCCAGCAGCCGCGGUAAUACGUAGGGCGCGAGCGUUGUCCGGAAUUAUUGGGCGUAAAGGGCUUGUAGGUGGCUGGUUGCGUCUGUCGUGAAAGCUCAUGGCUUAACUGUGGGUUUGCGGUGGGUACGGGCUGGCUUGAGUGCAGUAGGGGAGACUGGAAUUCCUGGUGUAGCGGUGGAAUGCGCAGAUAUCAGGAGGAAUACCGGUGGCGAAGGCGGGUCUCUGGGCUGUUACUGACACUGAGGAGCGAAAGCAUGGGGAGCGAACAGG
Molecule: ribosomal RNA, 419 nt
Filed under: bacterium
Lineage: Bacteria
Description: partial 16S ribosomal RNA
Rfam family: Bacterial small subunit ribosomal RNA
Source: RNAcentral